GCUCCCUUCGUCUAAUGGUUAGGACGCUGGCCUCUCACGUCGGUAAUAGGGGUUCGAAUCCCCUAGGGAGCACCA
Molecule: transfer RNA, 75 nt
Filed under: Gammaproteobacteria bacterium
Lineage: Bacteria; Pseudomonadati; Pseudomonadota; Gammaproteobacteria
Also listed under: 2 other names
Description: tRNA-Glu
Rfam family: tRNA
About the family: Transfer RNA (tRNA) molecules are approximately 80 nucleotides in length. Their secondary structure includes four short double-helical elements and three loops (D, anti-codon, and T loops). Further hydrogen bonds mediate the characteristic L-shaped molecular structure. tRNAs have two regions of fundamental functional importance: the anti-codon, which is responsible for specific mRNA codon recognition, and the 3' end, to which the tRNAs corresponding amino acid is attached (by aminoacyl-tRNA synthetases). tRNAs cope with the degeneracy of the genetic code in two manners: having more than one tRNA (with a specific anti-codon) for a particular amino acid; and 'wobble' base-pairing, i.e. permitting non-standard base-pairing at the 3rd anti-codon position.
Source: RNAcentral